RNAcentral lists this ribosomal RNA (422 nucleotides) under uncultured bacterium. RNAcentral's name for it is "bacterial SSU rRNA". It matches the Rfam family "Bacterial small subunit ribosomal RNA", at positions 355 to 774 of the family's 1533-position model. The record is from RNAcentral.
UAAGGAAUAUUGGUCAAUGGACGCAAGUCUGAACCAGCCAUGCCGCGUGCAGGAUGACGGCCCUCUGGGUUGUAAACUGCUUUUAUAGGGGACGAAAAAAGGGCUUUCUAGCUCGUCUGACGGUACCCUAGGAAUAAGCACCGGCUAACUCCGUGCCAGCAGCCGCGGUAAUACGGAGGGUGCAAGCGUUAUCCGGAUUUACUGGGUUUAAAGGGUGCGUAGGUGGGUCGGUAAGUCAGCGGUGAAAUCUUCGAGCUUAACUCGGAAACUGCCAUUGAUACUAUCGAUCUUGAAUCAUCUAGAGGUAAGCGGAAUAUGUCAUGUAGCGGUGAAAUGCUUAGAUAUGACAUAGAACACCAAUUGCGAAGGCAGCUUACUAUGGAUGUAUUGACACUGAGGCACGAAAGCGUGGGGAUCAAACA